This 257-nucleotide non-coding RNA is filed under the name Clostridium sp. Its description in RNAcentral is "T-box sequence". It matches the Rfam family "T-box leader". Rfam says of the family: Uncharged tRNA acts as the effector for transcription antitermination of genes in the T-box leader family. T-boxes are found upstream of many aminoacyl-tRNA synthetase genes and some amino acid biosynthetic genes usually in Gram-positive bacteria. The record is from RNAcentral. Lineage: Bacteria; Bacillati; Bacillota; Clostridia; Eubacteriales; Clostridiaceae.
GUAAAUUCUAUGAAGAGAAAAAGUAAUCUAUUUUAUUGUCCCACAGAGAGUUGGCAUUUUGCUGAAAGCCAAUGUUCAAAGAAUAGUUGAAAAUCAUCUCUGAGAAGCAAAGCUGAAGGUUAUUUAGUAAGCGAUGUAGGUAGUCCACCUUUAAAAGGAACACGUAUUGUAAUGUACGUUGAUGAGUGUUAUGAAUUAAUUGUUAUAUAUUAAUUUAUGGAACUAGGGUGGUAGCGCGAGUAUAACUCGUCCCUUAU